This 804-nucleotide ribosomal RNA is filed under the name uncultured bacterium. RNAcentral describes it as "bacterial SSU rRNA". It matches the Rfam family "Bacterial small subunit ribosomal RNA", at positions 48 to 849 of the family's 1533-position model. The record is from RNAcentral.
UUAACACAUGCAAGUCGAACGAAGCAUUUAGAACAGAUUACUUCGGUUUGAAGUUCUUUAUGACUGAGUGGCGGACGGGUGAGUAACGCGUGGGUAACCUGCCUUGUACUGGGGGAUAGCAGCUGGAAACGGCUGGUAAUACCGCAUAAGCGCACAAUGUUGCAUGACAUGGUGUGAAAAACUCCGGUGGUAUAAGAUGGACCCGCGUCUGAUUAGCUAGUUGGUGAGAUAACAGCCCACCAAGGCGACGAUCAGUAGCCGACCUGAGAGGGUGACCGGCCACAUUGGGACUGAGACACGGCCCAGACUCCUACGGGAGGCAGCAGUGGGGAAUAUUGCACAAUGGAGGAAACUCUGAUGCAUCGACGCCGCGUGAGUGAAGAAGUAAUUCGUUAUGUAAAGCUCUAUCAGCAGGGAAGAUAGUGACGGUACCUGACUAAGAAGCUCCGGCUAAAUACGUGCCAGCAGCCGCGGUAAUACGUAUGGAGCAAGCGUUAUCCGGAUUUACUGGGUGUAAAGGGAGUGUAGGUGGCCAUGCAAGUCAGAAGUGAAAAUCCGGGGCUCAACCCCGGAACUGCUUUUGAAACUGUAAGGCUAGAGUGCAGGAGGGGUGAGUGGAAUUCCUAGUGUAGCGGUGAAAUGCGUAGAUAUUAGGAGGAACACCAGUGGCGAAGGCGGCUCACUGGACUGUAACUGACACUGAGGCUCGAAAGCGUGGGGAGCAAACAGGAUUAGAUACCCUGGUAGUCCACGCCGUAACCGAUGAAUACUAGGUGUCGGGGCCCAUAAGGGCUUCGGUGCCGC